Molecule: ribosomal RNA, 459 nt
Filed under: uncultured bacterium
Lineage: Bacteria
Description: partial 16S ribosomal RNA
Rfam family: Bacterial small subunit ribosomal RNA
Source: RNAcentral
CCUACGGGAGGCAGCAGUGAGGAAUAUUGGUCAAUGGGCGCAAGCCUGAACCAGCAACGCCGCGUGAGGGAAGACGGUCCUAUGGAUUGUAAACCUCUUUUGUCGGGGAGCAAAAGACGCCACGCGUGGCGUUCAGAGAGUACCCGACGAAAAAGCAACGGCUAACUCCGUGCCAGCAGCGGCGGUAAUACGGGGGAUGCGAGCGUUAGCCGGAUGUAUGGGGUGAAAGGGGUGCGAAGGGGGAAUAUCAAGUCAGCGGUAAAAGUACGGGGCUCAACCCCGUCGUGCCGUUGAAACUGAUGUUCUUGAGUGGGCGAGAGGUAUGCGGAAUGCGUGGUGUAGCGGUGAAAUGCAUAGAUAUCACGCAGAACACCGAUUGCGAAGGCAGCAUACCGGCGCCCAACUGACGCUGAGGCACGAAAGCGUGGGUAGCGAACAGGAUUAGAUACCCGUGUAGUC